UACAGAGGUCCCGAGCGUUGUUCGGAUUCAUUGGGCGUAAAGGGUGCGUAGGCGGCUUUCUAAGUCUGAUGUGAAAUCCUGGGGCUCAACCCUGGAACUGCAUUGGAUACUGGGAGGCUAGAGUACUGGAGAGGAAACUGGAAUUUACGGUGUAGCAGUGAAAUGCGUAGAGAUCGUAAGGAAGACCAGUGGCGAAGGCGAGUUUCUGGACAGUUACUGACGCUGAGGCACGAAGGCUAGGGGAGCAAACGGG
RNAcentral lists this ribosomal RNA (253 nucleotides) under uncultured bacterium. Its description in RNAcentral is "partial 16S ribosomal RNA". It matches the Rfam family "Bacterial small subunit ribosomal RNA", at positions 524 to 776 of the family's 1533-position model. The record is from RNAcentral.